This 259-nucleotide ribosomal RNA is filed under the name uncultured Thermanaerovibrio sp. RNAcentral's name for it is "partial 16S ribosomal RNA". It matches the Rfam family "Bacterial small subunit ribosomal RNA", at positions 1124 to 1382 of the family's 1533-position model. Lineage: Bacteria; Thermotogati; Synergistota; Synergistia; Synergistales; Synergistaceae. The record is from RNAcentral.
GGUCAAGCUGUGCACUCUAGACAGACUGCCGUGGACAACACGGAGGAAGUGGGGAUGACGUCAAGUCAUCAUGGCCCUUAUGUCCAGGGCGACACACGUGCUACAAUGGCCGGCACAGCGGGAAGCGAGGCAGUGAUGCCAAGCGGAUCCCUUAAAGCCGGUCUCAGUUCGGAUUGAAGUCUGCAACUCGACUUCAUGAAGCUGGAAUCGCUAGUAAUCGCAGAUCAGCCAAGCUGCGGUGAAUACGUUCCCGGGCCUU